UACGUAGGGUGCAAGCGUUAUCCGGAAUUAUUGGGCGUAAAGAGCUCGUAGGCGGCUUGUCGCGUCGAAUGUGAAAUCCCGAGGCUCAACUUCGGGCUUGCAUUCGAUACGGGCAGGCUAGAGUUCGGUAGGGGAGACUGGAAUUCCUGGUGUAGCGGUGAAAUGCGCAGAUAUCAGGAGGAACACCGAUGGCGAAGGCAGGUCUCUGGGCCGAUACUGACGCUGAGGAGCGAAAGCGUGGGGAGCGAACAGG
RNAcentral lists this ribosomal RNA (253 nucleotides) under uncultured bacterium. RNAcentral describes it as "partial 16S ribosomal RNA". It matches the Rfam family "Bacterial small subunit ribosomal RNA", at positions 524 to 776 of the family's 1533-position model. The record is from RNAcentral.